This 1406-nucleotide ribosomal RNA is filed under the name Lactiplantibacillus plantarum. RNAcentral's name for it is "bacterial SSU rRNA". It matches the Rfam family "Bacterial small subunit ribosomal RNA". The record is from RNAcentral. Lineage: Bacteria; Bacillati; Bacillota; Bacilli; Lactobacillales; Lactobacillaceae.
UUGGUGCUUGCAUCAUGAUUUACAUUUGAGUGAGUGGCGAACUGGUGAGUAACACGUGGGAAACCUGCCCAGAAGCGGGGGAUAACACCUGGAAACAGAUGCUAAUACCGCAUAACAACUUGGACCGCAUGGUCCGAGCUUGAAAGAUGGCUUCGGCUAUCACUUUUGGAUGGUCCCGCGGCGUAUUAGCUAGAUGGUGGGGUAACGGCUCACCAUGGCAAUGAUACGUAGCCGACCUGAGAGGGUAAUCGGCCACAUUGGGACUGAGACACGGCCCAAACUCCUACGGGAGGCAGCAGUAGGGAAUCUUCCACAAUGGACGAAAGUCUGAUGGAGCAACGCCGCGUGAGUGAAGAAGGGUUUCGGCUCGUAAAACUCUGUUGUUAAAGAAGAACAUAUCUGAGAGUAACUGUUCAGGUAUUGACGGUAUUUAACCAGAAAGCCACGGCUAACUACGUGCCAGCAGCCGCGGUAAUACGUAGGUGGCAAGCGUUGUCCGGAUUUAUUGGGCGUAAAGCGAGCGCAGGCGGUUUUUUAAGUCUGAUGUGAAAGCCUUCGGCUCAACCGAAGAAGUGCAUCGGAAACUGGGAAACUUGAGUGCAGAAGAGGACAGUGGAACUCCAUGUGUAGCGGUGAAAUGCGUAGAUAUAUGGAAGAACACCAGUGGCGAAGGCGGCUGUCUGGUCUGUAACUGACGCUGAGGCUCGAAAGUAUGGGUAGCAAACAGGAUUAGAUACCCUGGUAGUCCAUACCGUAAACGAUGAAUGCUAAGUGUUGGAGGGUUUCCGCCCUUCAGUGCUGCAGCUAACGCAUUAAGCAUUCCGCCUGGGGAGUACGGCCGCAAGGCUGAAACUCAAAGGAAUUGACGGGGGCCCGCACAAGCGGUGGAGCAUGUGGUUUAAUUCGAAGCUACGCGAAGAACCUUACCAGGUCUUGACAUACUAUGCAAAUCUAAGAGAUUAGACGUUCCCUUCGGGGACAUGGAUACAGGUGGUGCAUGGUUGUCGUCAGCUCGUGUCGUGAGAUGUUGGGUUAAGUCCCGCAACGAGCGCAACCCUUAUUAUCAGUUGCCAGCAUUAAGUUGGGCACUCUGGUGAGACUGCCGGUGACAAACCGGAGGAAGGUGGGGAUGACGUCAAAUCAUCAUGCCCCUUAUGACCUGGGCUACACACGUGCUACAAUGGAUGGUACAACGAGUUGCGAACUCGCGAGAGUAAGCUAAUCUCUUAAAGCCAUUCUCAGUUCGGAUUGUAGGCUGCAACUCGCCUACAUGAAGUCGGAAUCGCUAGUAAUCGCGGAUCAGCAUGCCGCGGUGAAUACGUUCCCGGGCCUUGUACACACCGCCCGUCACACCAUGAGAGUUUGUAACACCCAAAGUCGGUGGGGUAACCUUUUAGGAACCAGCC